This 542-nucleotide ribosomal RNA is filed under the name Jugurtia braunsiella. RNAcentral describes it as "eukaryotic LSU rRNA". It matches the Rfam family "Eukaryotic large subunit ribosomal RNA", at positions 664 to 1138 of the family's 3401-position model. Lineage: Eukaryota; Metazoa; Arthropoda; Insecta; Hymenoptera; Vespidae. The record is from RNAcentral.
GACCAAGGAGUCUAACAUGUGCGCGAGUCAUUGGGAUCCCGAAUCCUAAAGGCGCAAUGAAAGUGAAGGUCGGCCACCGCGCGUCGACCGAGGGAGGAUGGGCCGCGUCGCGACGCGACUCCGCACUCCCGGGGCGUCUCGUUCUCAUCGCGAGAAGAGGCGCACCCAGAGCGUACACGUUGGGACCCGAAAGAUGGUGAACUAUGCCUGGUCAGGACGAAGUCAGGGGAAACCCUGAUGGAGGUCCGUAGCGAUUCUGACGUGCAAAUCGAUCGUCGGAACUGGGUAUAGGGGCGAAAGACUAAUCGAACCAUCUAGUAGCUGGUUCCCUCCGAAGUUUCCCUCAGGAUAGCUGGCACUCGCUCGUUCGUUGCCACGAACGCGCGCGAGUCUCAUCUGGUAAAGCGAAUGAUUAGAGGCCUUGGGGCCGAAACGACCUCAACCUAUUCUCAAACUUUAAAUGGGUGAGAUCUCUGGCUUGCUUGAACGCUGAAGCCACGAGAGAGAUAUCCACGGAUCAGAGUGCCAAGUGGGCCAAUUUU